CCCCGCCCUCACACCUUGGUCACGCCCCUGAGGCAAGUCCCCCACCUGAGGAUGAGGACACGCAGGCGUGGUGUGCUGAGGAAGGCUUCGGGUCCCACGUGGCCGACACGGUUGCCCUGCAGAUGCAGCUCCUCCAGGGCCUCAGGCAGAUCAGGGGGCACAAAGGACAGCUCGUUGUGGCUCAGGGAUUGAGUCCAAGACCUUAACACUGAACCUUCCUGGUCCGCCUUUUAAAAUCGGAGAGUUACCUUGCUAAGUUAGUAAACUGAUCAGGCUGGGCUCAGA
This is a non-coding RNA of Heterocephalus glaber (naked mole-rat), 285 nucleotides long. NCBI's taxonomy places the organism in Eukaryota, Metazoa, Chordata, Mammalia, Rodentia, Bathyergidae. The record is from RefSeq and is a predicted model, not a curated record.